UAAAAUUUAAUUUUAAAAUUAUUGAGUAGUAAUAGUUAAGUUCUUGAAAUUUAAAAAAUUUGGCGGUAUUUUAGUCUAUUCAGAGGAACCUGUGAUUUAAUCGAUAAUCCACGUUGUAUCUUACUUAGUUUUGUUUUUCAGUUUGUAUAUCGCCGUUAUUUGAAAAUUUUAUAAGAAUAAUAAUUUUCAUAAUUUUUAAUUAGAUAGUAAAUCAGGUCAAGGUGCAGCUUAUGGCUAAGGAAUUUAUGGGUUACAAUAAAUUUUAUUUAAAUGGAUUAAAUUUUGUAAUAAUUUUAUGAAAGUGGAUUUGAUAGUAAAUAUUUAUAGAUUAUAAUAUUGAUUUUAGCUCUAAAAUAUGUACAUAUCGCCCGUCACUCUUAUUAAUAAUAUAAGAUAAGUCGUAACAUAGUAGAUGUACUGGAAAGUGUAUCUAGAAUGACAAUUUAAAGCUUAUUAGUAAAGCAUUUCAUUUACAUUGAAGAGAUUAUUGUGCGAUUCAAUAUAAAUUGAUAAUAUAGAAUUAUUAAUUUUUAUUUUUAAGAAAAAAAAAUUAUUAAAAAUAAUUAUAUAAAUUUUUUGUUUUAGUAUUAUUUUAAAAAUAAAUAAUUUUAAUUAUAGUGAAUUAGUAUUGUGAGAGAAUUU
This 642-nucleotide ribosomal RNA is filed under the name Thinolestris nigra. RNAcentral describes it as "partial 12S ribosomal RNA". The stretch from base 24 to 433 matches the Rfam family "Microsporidia small subunit ribosomal RNA", at positions 752 to 1303 of the family's 1311-position model. The record is from RNAcentral. Lineage: Eukaryota; Metazoa; Arthropoda; Insecta; Diptera; Dolichopodidae.